Culex pipiens pallens (northern house mosquito) is the source of this 377-nucleotide long non-coding RNA. RefSeq lists it as uncharacterized. The transcript has 2 exons. The record is from RefSeq and is a predicted model, not a curated record. NCBI's taxonomy places the organism in Eukaryota, Metazoa, Arthropoda, Insecta, Diptera, Culicidae.
CUAAGGAUCCAACAGGAGGUGACCCACAUCAAGCCGAUCGUGGACAAUGGCGAAAGCGCAGCAAAAUUGUGCCUCUUCUAAUGUGGUUCCGAUGAGAAGAGGCCAUAAAAUAUUUGUCAAAAAGCUGGGCUGAUUCAAUAAUAAAGCAGGAUCAGUGCUGGCUGCAAGUGCAUAUCAAAUGAAGUGGUAUGAAGCUUUCACCAUCGUCUCAGAGGGGUGUUUCUGACCAUCCAACCCCAGAAGUGACUUGGAGCCGCGUGAACAGACUUGGUCCUCGGACGGAGUACAUGACACUAGAUUUUUAAAUCCAAUAGUUUAUUAUCAACUGAUUACAUAGAAAAUGAUGCAAUAAAAACAUUUUAUUUUGUUUUAUUUCA